Molecule: long non-coding RNA, 206 nt
Filed under: Elaeis guineensis (African oil palm)
Lineage: Eukaryota; Viridiplantae; Streptophyta; Magnoliopsida; Arecales; Arecaceae
Description: long non-coding RNA (EGUI_LNC054065)
Source: RNAcentral
AUCAGGGUGCUAGCUUUCUCAUAGAGAUCACUCCUUGGAUUAUCGAAUCUUUUGCUUCUUUGAUUCUCUUCCUAAAAAAAUCAAAGAGAUUUGUAGGAUGAUCAAGAAAUCAGAUCUUAUAUGAUUUUUGUUUCCUUUCUCUUCUUAAGAGAAAAUAUGAAGAUCUUGAAAAAAUAAGAGAUAAAAUCUCUUUUCUUUUCUUUCCG